This 66-nucleotide transfer RNA is filed under the name hydrothermal vent metagenome. RNAcentral's name for it is "tRNA-Pseudo-CAA". The record is from RNAcentral.
GCUGGUGAGUUGGCGAGCAGACUCGCAAUGCGUAGGUCCGGGGUUCAAAUCCCCGCUCCGGCUCCA